This is a long non-coding RNA of Myxocyprinus asiaticus (Chinese sucker), 1843 nucleotides long. RefSeq lists it as uncharacterized. NCBI's taxonomy places the organism in Eukaryota, Metazoa, Chordata, Actinopteri, Cypriniformes, Catostomidae. The transcript is spliced from 5 exons. The record is from RefSeq and is a predicted model, not a curated record.
GAUAUUUUUUACAAUAAGAAGUCUUCUUUUCUAGAAAUCUUCUUUUCUAGAAAUCAUCUAAGCAUUUAUUUUUUUGCCCUGUCUAACAUCAAAAUAAAAGUAAUUUGGGAAAGUUAAUAAAGGGAAUGAAUAAACUUAUCAGAGAAGGAAAAUAAAAGCAAAUGCAUUCUAAAUGUUUGCUGUACACACAGAAUGAAGCCCAUGAUUGAUUCUUUGUUAAUUACAGGAAGUUAUGAUGGGAAGGCAGAUGCAUUACACAGUGAUCUGAGCAGAGGUGGACAGUAACGAAAUACAUGUACUUGAGUACUGUACUUAAGUACACUUUUUGAGUAUCUGUAAUUUACUUGAGAAUUAUUUUUUCUGGAAACUUGUGACUUUAACUUCACUACAUUUGAAAGACAAAUAUCGUACAUUUCACUCCUCUACAUUUCUAUCAAGGUCCUCGAGUAGAAAGUCGUUACUAUGUAGCAGCUUUGUAAAUCAGUGGAUGAUUUUUUUCUUCUCUAAAACGUGAUUGUUUUUUUGCAGGUGACAGACAGCCUAUCAGUAAUCACUCUUGUAGGGUCACGUAUCAUGAAGUUGAUUUCCCAGCAUUUUUUGAACACUUAUCAGUUGGCAAAAUGGAAGACGGCGGUUCCUCGGCGCAGUGCGUGCACCCAUGGCCAUACUUAGAAAAUAUGUUCCAGUUUUCUGAAAAUGUUAAAGAUUCGUUUUGUUUUAAAUGUAUGCUUUGUUUGCCUAAAACGAACCAUAUCACAGCCUUCAAAAACUCGUCGUCCAACCUGCGGAAGCAUAUUGAAGUAUGUAAACUUUUAAUUUCUUGUGAAAGCUUGAAAUUAUCUGUGCUUUAGAGCUAAAGUUUCAGUAUGAAGUAUGGUCGGUCAAAUUAUUUUUUAUGGAUUUGCCCACCAAGUUGCCAUAGCCUUGUGGAUACACCGCUAAUGCAUAGGUAAGGUUCGACAAUUACAUUAGUUAGCAUGCAAAAGCGUGAAUUUAAAUGUAAAUGAGCUUAAGAGUUAAAUAAGUUAAUAUCUUGUAACUUUUAUGUUUUUUUUUUUUUGUUUUUUUUUUGUGAUCUUGCUUAAUUACUAUAGUUAUGUGUUGAGCUGCACGAUUAAAUCAUAAAAAGAUAGCGAUCUCGAUUCAAACACCCACACGAUCUCUUUCCUAAAUGAUAACGAUUCGCCUGUCUCUUAAACCUUUGACAAAAAUCAUACCGGAACAUUCAAAUCUGCGUUGGUGCUGCCGCUGAGCCAGAGAGAGCAGUUAUCAUGUUCUGCCAGAGCUGUGUGAGAACACUACCAUGCUGCUUUUGUGGGGGUGGGUAGGAGUGUUAAAUAAAAAAAAUGAAGAUGAUUAUGGCUGUCUUUUUUGUCAUUUCAGUUGUUUCAUUUGUAUAGGUUUUGUAACAUUUUAAAAGCUCUUUAUUCCACAGAUACUACAAGCUAGUCAGUGUAUUCAGCAGGUUGCUUCAGAGGCAUAAGGUAUUUAAUAGAGUUGUGUACUUUGUCAACCUCUGGAUCUGAGAUGGAAGAGAAGCCUGCUUCAGAGACUGAGGGAACAGCAUAUAAUGGAGGAUCUAGGAAGGCCACACACAUGAGGUGGAUCUUACAGGCCAUAUCAUCAGUGGCGGUUCUAGCUUGUAUGGCGCCCUGGGUGAAACCCGCUUCAACACAGCAUGAGGAAUGAACUCCAGGACUCCACUUGGACUCUGAGCCAAAUUUUCAAAAGCAGACAGAUCCCUCUUCACCUCCAAAGACAGAUUUCACUUUGACAUUGUUUUUUUUUUUUUUCACACUUACAAUUUGCAUAUUUUCCACAAUGCUUCAUGCACUGAUGAACU